GAUGAACGCUAGCGGCAGGCUUAACACAUGCAAGUCGAGGGGUAACAUUGAGUGCUUGCACUCAGAUGACGACCGGCGCACGGGUGCGUAACGCGUAUAGAAUCUACCUUAUACUGGAGAAUAGCCUUUGGAAACGAAGAUUAAUGCUCCAUAGUAAGUAGUAAUGGCAUCAUUAUUACUUUAAAGCUCCGGUGGUAUAAGAUGACUAUGCGUUCUAUUAGUUAGUUGGUAAGGUAACGGCUUACCAAGACAUCGAUAGAUAGGGGUCCUGAGAGGGAGAUCCCCCACACUGGUACUGAGACACGGACCAGACUCCUACGGGAGGCAGCAGUGAGGAAUAUUGGACAAUGGAGGCAACUCUGAUCCAGCCAUGCCGCGUGCAGGAAGACUGCCCUAUGGGUUGUAAACUGCUUUUAUAUGGGAAGAAUAAGGAUCUCGUGAGGUCUGAUGACGGUACCAUAAGAAUAAGCACCGGCUAACUCCG
This 484-nucleotide ribosomal RNA is filed under the name uncultured Flavobacteriaceae bacterium. RNAcentral's name for it is "bacterial SSU rRNA". It matches the Rfam family "Bacterial small subunit ribosomal RNA", at positions 28 to 505 of the family's 1533-position model. Lineage: Bacteria; Pseudomonadati; Bacteroidota; Flavobacteriia; Flavobacteriales; Flavobacteriaceae. The record is from RNAcentral.